RNAcentral lists this ribosomal RNA (493 nucleotides) under Starmerella bacillaris. RNAcentral's name for it is "partial large subunit ribosomal RNA". It matches the Rfam family "Eukaryotic large subunit ribosomal RNA", at positions 68 to 668 of the family's 3401-position model. Lineage: Eukaryota; Fungi; Ascomycota; Dipodascomycetes; Dipodascales; Trichomonascaceae. The record is from RNAcentral.
ACAGGGUAUGUCUAGUACGGCGAGUGACAGGCAGAGCUCAGAUUUGAAAGGCACUUUUGUGCCGUUGUAUUCUGAAGUUAGGGUCCUGAGAAACGAUGCUUAAGUCUUCUGGAAAGGAGCGCCAUGGAGGGUGAUAGCCCCGUCUAGCAUUGACCUCAUAUAGGAUCUUAACAUGGAGUCGAGUUGUUUGGGAAUGCAGCUCAAAUGGGUGGUAUGCUCCAUCUAAAGCUAAAUAUCUGCGAGAGACCGAUAGUAAACAAGUACUGUGAGGGAAAGAUGAAAAGAACUUUGAAAAGAGAGUGAAAAAGUACGUGAAAUUGUUGAAAUGGAAGGGUAGGCCGCUAACCAUGUAGAGCCGUGUUUGGGGGGAAGAUAAAUGCUGUAGAAUGUAGCUCCUCGGAGUAUUAUAGAUGCAGUUCAUAUUCCCACCCGAGCGCGAGGAUCUCAGGUUCUACUAAAUGGUGGUCUACCACCCGUCUUGAACCACGGACCA